This 253-nucleotide ribosomal RNA is filed under the name uncultured bacterium. RNAcentral's name for it is "partial 16S ribosomal RNA". It matches the Rfam family "Bacterial small subunit ribosomal RNA", at positions 524 to 776 of the family's 1533-position model. The record is from RNAcentral.
UACGGGGGGGGCAAGCGUUGUUCGGAAUUACUGGGCGUAAAGGGCUCGUAGGCGGCCAACUAAGUUGGAUGUGAAAUCCCCAGGCUCAACUUGGGAACUGCAUCCGAUACUGGAUGGCUUGAAUUCGGGAGAGGGAUGCAGAAUUCCAGGUGUAGCGGUGAAAUGCGUAGAUAUCUGGAGGAAUACCGGUGGCGAAGGCGGCAUCCUGGACCGACAUUGACGCUGAGGAGCGAAAGCUAGGGGAGCAAACGGG